This 502-nucleotide ribosomal RNA is filed under the name uncultured bacterium. Its description in RNAcentral is "partial 16S ribosomal RNA". It matches the Rfam family "Bacterial small subunit ribosomal RNA", at positions 30 to 523 of the family's 1533-position model. The record is from RNAcentral.
AUUGAACGCUGGCGGCAUGCCUUACACAUGCAAGUCGAACGGCAGCACGGGUGCUUGCACCUGGUGGCGAGUGGCGAACGGGUGAGUAAUAUAUCGGAACGUACCUUAUUGUGGGGGAUAACGCAGCGAAAGCUGUGCUAAUACCGCAUAAUCCCUAAGGGGGAAAGCGGGGGACCGUAAGGCCUCGCGCAAUUAGAGCGGCCGAUACCUGAUUAGCUAGUUGGUGAGGUAAAGGCUCACCAAGGCAACGAUCAGUAGCUGGUCUGAGAGGACGAUCAGCCACACUGGGACUGAGACACGGCCCAGACUCCUACGGGAGGCAGCAGUGGGGAAUAUUGGACAAUGGGCGCAAGCCUGAUCCAGCAAUGCCGCGUGGGUGAAGAAGGCCUUCGGGUUGUAAAGCCCUUUUGUACGGGAAGAAAUCCUGUCGGUUAAUACCCGGCGGGGAUGACGGUACCGUAAGAAUAAGCACCGGCUAACUACGUGCCAGCCGCCGCCGUAA